AAAACAUUCGGACCGUCGGUCUACCGAGCAAUAUCACCCGCUCGGUGGAAGAUCUUCUCUUUGUCGU
Molecule: microRNA precursor, 67 nt
Filed under: Bombyx mori (domestic silkworm)
Lineage: Eukaryota; Metazoa; Arthropoda; Insecta; Lepidoptera; Bombycidae
Description: mir-2774 microRNA precursor family
Rfam family: mir-2774 microRNA precursor family
Source: Rfam by way of RNAcentral